GAAAAAGGCAACCGAUAUUGCAACGUGACGAGAGAGAAGGAAGACAACACAAAAAUAUUUUGAAUAUGGAAGAGGAUAAGUUUAUUCGAUGGUAGAGGGCUUGAAACCAGCAUUAAGUGGCUACAGUAUUACUCGUGUGCUUGAUAAAGUCUGGGAAGUAUUCUGGUUAGUCGAUGUGAUUAAUAUCCUGGUUCCAAAAGAGCCUGAGUUCUUCAUAUAAAGUGCAGGAAAAAUUGCCUUAAAAUAUUAAAGAGGCAAUCCAACGUUUAAGAGAUUCAUUGCCAAAGAAUGAAUAACAAUGAAAGAAAAUCGAUUGUGUGAAUUCCUUUCAAGUAAUGGUCUGUUUUCC
Long non-coding RNA from Stegodyphus dumicola, 349 nucleotides. RefSeq lists it as uncharacterized. NCBI's taxonomy places the organism in Eukaryota, Metazoa, Arthropoda, Arachnida, Araneae, Eresidae. The record is from RefSeq and is a predicted model, not a curated record.